UGCGGAAUAUUGGUCACUUUUCUCCCUCCUGAACCAACCAUCCCGCGUGAAGGAUGAAGGCCCUAUGGGUCGUAAACUUCUUUUAUACACCAAGAAAAAGCAGGACGUGUCCUGCCCCGACGGUAGUGUAUGAAUAAGCAUCGGCUAACUCCGUGCCAGCAGCCGCGGUAAUACGGAGGAUGCGAGCGUUAUCCGGAUUCAUUGGGUUUAACGGGUGCGUAGGCGGCUUUUUAAGUCAGUGGUGAAAUCUUGCCGCUUAACGGUAAAAUUGCCAUUGAUACUGAGAAGCUUGAGUACAAUUGAGGUAAGCGGAAUGUGUAGUGUAGCGGUGAAAUGCUUAGAUAUUACACAGAACACCAAUUGCGAAGGCAGCUUACUAAACUGUUACUGACGCUGAUGCACGAACGCGUGGGGAGCGAACA
Molecule: ribosomal RNA, 422 nt
Filed under: uncultured bacterium
Lineage: Bacteria
Description: bacterial SSU rRNA
Rfam family: Bacterial small subunit ribosomal RNA
Source: RNAcentral